CAGAAAACGCUGAUAGUGUGAGCCAAAGCACUCCAUAUGAAGAGGUUGUUCACACUGCUGGAUGUUUCUCCUCUGAAGCUGCUCUCUGCCUCAGUCAUUGUUUACUUCACUCAUGAAGCUCAUCAAGCACAUAGCAAGAUCCGAGCAUGAACCCGAGCGCUUUAUUCGCCUAUCAAAGGCUAGUCAUUUUACGGUGAUUUCAUUCACCGCGACUCCAGAAAUGAUUAAAAAACUACAAAAUGACGUAUCCGCGCUCCCGCUGAUAUGCUGACAUGCGUACACAGAGCAGAGCUGUCCCCCCGCGACUCUCUCCCCGCCUCGUCUCACACAGUCUGUCAGCCUCUGUGCAGCACCUUCGGAGCAAGUAGGGGCGCCUACAGCAGCGGGGGGACGCCAAUUUGACAACAACAGUUAAUACAAAACCGCUUUGCGGUUAAGAUUUAUUAUUAUUAUCUUUUAUUUUAUUUUUUGGAAGUGCUCGUGCCGCCCCCCAUGAGUCAUGACACAAAUGCCGCCCCGGGCGGCUGCCCUGUUCGCCCGUGCCUAGAACCGCUACUGAUC
Molecule: non-coding RNA, 561 nt
Organism: Xyrichtys novacula (pearly razorfish)
Lineage: Eukaryota; Metazoa; Chordata; Actinopteri; Labriformes; Labridae
Source: the annotation of a GenBank genome assembly